CGGACGGGUGAGUAAUGUCUGGGAAACUGCCUGAUGGAGGGGGAUAACUACUGGAAACGGUAGCUAAUACCGCAUAACGUCGCAAGACCAAAGAGGGGGACCUUAGGGCCUCUUGCCAUCGGAUGUGCCCAAAUGGGAUUAGCUAGUAGGUGGGGUAAUGGCUCACCUAGGCGACGAUCCCUAGCUGGUCUGAGAGGAUGACCAGCCACACUGGAACUGAGACACGGUCCAG
This 232-nucleotide ribosomal RNA is filed under the name uncultured bacterium. RNAcentral describes it as "partial 16S ribosomal RNA". It matches the Rfam family "Bacterial small subunit ribosomal RNA", at positions 99 to 334 of the family's 1533-position model. The record is from RNAcentral.